Molecule: long non-coding RNA, 423 nt
Organism: Micropterus dolomieu (smallmouth bass)
Lineage: Eukaryota; Metazoa; Chordata; Actinopteri; Centrarchiformes; Centrarchidae
Exons: 3
Source: RefSeq, a predicted model, not a curated record
GAAGUGCUUGCCAUCUUAAGGCCCAAAAACUACAAUUCUUACAGAAAUCUGUAAUGUUGCAUGUCAAAGGUUUUCAAUCACAUCUGUGCGACUUCUUACAGGGUUCCUACAGAGAUCAGCUAACAUCAGAGCCUUCAGGGCCAGGGGACAGCGAUGGAGCGACGGGGCCAUUGACAGUGACAGGCAUGGUUCACUCACCCUCGUCCUCUGUUCAGUCGGCUGGGCUCAUCCUCCAGUCCUCUCUUCCUCGGACUUCCCCCACAGUGUCCUCCCUGUUCUCCCUCGCUUCCUCGGCCCCAGUGUUCCCCCGGUCCUCUGGUCCCAGUCUCCUCUGUUCCCUGUGCCUGUGUUUCCCCGCCAUCCACCUCUCCCUCGACUCCAGUCCCUCACCCCCUUUUCCCAAUAAAACCUGUCAAAACUGAA